Molecule: ribosomal RNA, 317 nt
Filed under: uncultured bacterium
Lineage: Bacteria
Description: bacterial SSU rRNA
Rfam family: Bacterial small subunit ribosomal RNA
Source: RNAcentral
GAUAAACGCUGGCGGCGCACAUAAGACAUGCAAGUCGAACGGACUUAAUCAAUUUGUUUACAAAUUGAAGCGGUUAGUGGCGGACUGGUGAGUAACACGUAAGCAACCUACCUGUCAGAGGGGAAUAACAAUGAGAAAUCAUUGCUAAUACCGCAUAUGCCAUAAUUACCACAUGGUGAUAGUGGGAAAGGAGAAAUCCGCUGAUAGAUGGGCUUGCGUCUGAUUAGUUAGUUGGUGGGGUAAUGGCCUACCAAGACUGCGAUCAGUAGCCGGACUGAGAGGUUGAACGGCCACAUUGGGACUGAGAUACGGCCCAG